CAACGCCGCGUGAGGGAUGAAGGCCUUCGGGUUGUAAACCUCUUUUCUCAGGGACGAUAAUGACGGUACCUGAGGAAUAAGCCACGGCUAACUACGUGC
RNAcentral lists this ribosomal RNA (99 nucleotides) under uncultured bacterium. RNAcentral's name for it is "partial 16S ribosomal RNA". It matches the Rfam family "Bacterial small subunit ribosomal RNA", at positions 392 to 508 of the family's 1533-position model. The record is from RNAcentral.